UGGGGAAUCUUAGACAAUGGGGGAAACCCUGAUCUAGCCAUGCCGCGUGAGCGAUGAAGGCCUUAGGGUUGUAAAGCUCUUUCACCGGGGAAGAUAAUGACGGUACCCGGAGAAGAAGCCCCGGCUAACUCCGUGCCAGCAGCCGCGGUAAUACGGAGGGGGCUAGCGUUGUUCGGAAUUACUGGGCGUAAAGCGCACGUAGGCGGAUUGGAAAGUCAGAGGUGAAAUCCCAGGGCUCAACCCUGGAACUGCCUUUGAAACUCCCAGUCUUGAGGUCGAGAGAGGUGAGUGGAAUUCCGAGUGUAGAGGUGAAAUUCGUAGAUAUUCGGGGGAACACCAGUGGCGAAGGCGGCUCACUGGCUCGAUACUGACGCUGAGGUGCGAAAGCGUGGGGAGCAAACAGG
This 404-nucleotide ribosomal RNA is filed under the name bacterium. RNAcentral's name for it is "partial 16S ribosomal RNA". It matches the Rfam family "Bacterial small subunit ribosomal RNA", at positions 355 to 776 of the family's 1533-position model. The record is from RNAcentral.